UGGGGAAUAUUGCACAAUGGAGGGAACUCUGAUGCAGCGACGCCGCGUGAGUGAUGAAGGAAUUCGUUUCGUAAAACUCUGUUCUAUGGGAAGAAAAGGACUGUACCAUAGGAAAAAGCUCCGGCUAAAUACGUGCCAGCAGCCGCGGUAAUACGUAUGGAGCGAGCGUUGUCCGGAAUUAUUGGGCGUAAAGGGUGCGCAGGCGGCUUUACAAGUUGGAUGUGAAAUAUUGUGGCUCAACCACAAACGUGCAUCCAAAACUGCAAAGCUUGAGUUAAGGAGAGGUAAGUGGAAUUCCUGGUGUAGCGGUGGAAUGCGUAGAUAUCAGGAGGAAUACCGGUGGCGAAGGCGACUUACUGGACUUAAACUGACGCUCAGGCACGAAAGCGUGGGGAGCAAACAGG
Molecule: ribosomal RNA, 404 nt
Filed under: Fusobacteriota bacterium
Lineage: Bacteria; Fusobacteriati; Fusobacteriota
Description: Fusobacteria bacterium partial 16S ribosomal RNA
Rfam family: Bacterial small subunit ribosomal RNA
Source: RNAcentral